Molecule: ribosomal RNA, 253 nt
Filed under: uncultured bacterium
Lineage: Bacteria
Also listed under: 1 other name
Description: partial 16S ribosomal RNA
Rfam family: Bacterial small subunit ribosomal RNA
Source: RNAcentral
UACAGAGGGUGCAAGCGUUAAUCGGAAUUACUGGGCGUAAAGCGUGCGUAGACGGUUAUGUAAGUCAGAUGUGAAAGCCCCGGGCUCAACCUGGGAAUUGCAUUUGAGACUGUGUAGCUAGGGUGCGGAAGAGGGAAGCGGAAUUUCCGGUGUAGCGGUGAAAUGCGUAGAUAUCGGAAGGAACACCAGUGGCGAAAGCGGCUUCCUGGUCCAGCACCGACGUUCAGGCACGAAAGCGUGGGGAGCAAACAGG